AUUUUGGUAAAGGACCUUUUAUGAGCUAAUGAAAUCUUAUAAAAAUAGAUAAAUGGGUGUUUUUGGGCAAACGAUUUUGCACUUUAUCUUAGGGAAAAACAAUAUGUCCGAGCAUCUGUCAAACAUUCCUAAACCUGACAUAAGAACAUAUAUUCGAUCUUGAUUUCUAGGCCGCAUGGUCAAGUUGAUGCAGAAAAUGUAAAAAUGUAAAUUGAUUCAUCGCUUGUUAAUGCAAAAAAAAACAACAACAAACUCUGACUUUUUCCAUGCCCAUUCCCAUUCUCAAUUUAAUUACUAGUAGUAUAAUGAACUAGCUGGUUGACUCGUGAUAUUGUCGCAAUUUAGAAAUAAGAUGAUUAUGCUUAAGAAUAAUUUCAUGUUUAAAUGAAAAAUGGUCGUCGUUACGUAUAUCGCCGGUGUAAGAAUGUUACAUAUGUACUUAGUCUAGUUUUAAUGUGACCGUAGCUCUAUUCGCUCGCUUUAUUGUUUCAUUGUUAUCCAAUCGAUAGGAAAAUUGUAAUGAACUUUAUUGUAUA
RNAcentral lists this long non-coding RNA (536 nucleotides) under Mytilus galloprovincialis (Mediterranean mussel). The record is from RNAcentral. Lineage: Eukaryota; Metazoa; Mollusca; Bivalvia; Mytilida; Mytilidae.